GGUUAAGUGACUAAGCGUACACGGUGGAUGCCUAGGCAGUCAGAGGCGAUGAAGGGCGUGCUAAUCUGCGAAAAGCGUCGGUAAGGUGAUAUGAACCGUUAUAACCGGCGAUACCCGAAUGGGGAAACCCAGUGUGUUUCGACACACUAUCAUGUCAUGAAUACAUAGUGGCAUGAGGCGAACCGGGGGAACUGAAACAUCUAAGUACCCCGAGGAAAAGAAAUCAACCGAGAUUCCCCCAGUAGCGGCGAGCGAACGGGGAGGAGCCCAGAACCUGAAUCGGCUUGUGUGUUAGUGGAAGCGUCUGGAAAGUCGCGCAGCAAAGGGUGAUAGCCCCGUACACUAAAAUGCACAGGUCGUGAGUUCGAUGAGUAGGGCGGGACACGUGACAUCCUGUCUGAAUAUGGGGGGACCAUCCUCCAAGGCUAAAUACUCCUGACUGACCGAUAGUGAACCAGUACCGUGAGGGAAAGGCGAAAAGAACCCCGGCGAGGGGAGUGAAAUAGAACCUGAAACCGUGUACGUACAAGCAGUGGGAGCACCUUCGUGGUGUGACUGCGUACCUUUUGUAUAAUGGGUCAGCGACUUAUAUUUUGUAGCAAGGUUAACCGUAUAGGGGAGCCGUAGGGAAACCGAGUCUUAACUGGGCGAAUAGUUGCAAGGUAUAGACCCGAAACCCGGUGAUCUAGCCAUGGGCAGGUUGAAGGUUGGGUAACACUAACUGGAGGACCGAACCGACUAAUGUUGAAAAAUUAGCGGAUGACUUGUGGCUGGGGGUGAAAGGCCAAUCAAACCGGGAGAUAGCUGGUUCUCCCCGAAAGCUAUUUAGGUAGCGCCUCGUGAACUCAUCUUCGGGGGUAGAGCACUGUUUCGGCUAGGGGGCCAUCCCGGCUUACCAAACCGAUGCAAACUCCGAAUACCGAAGAAUGUUAUCACGGGAGACACACGGCGGGUGCUAACGUCCGUCGUGAAGAGGGAAACAACCCAGACCGCCAGCUAAGGUCCCAAAGUCAUGGUUAAGUGGGAAACGAUGUGGGAAGGCAUAGACAGCCAGGAUGUUGGCUUAGAAGCAGCCAUCAUUUAAAGAAAGCGUAAUAGCUCACUGGUCGAGUCGGCCUGCGCGGAAGAUGUAACGGGGCUAAACCAUGCACCGAAGCUGCGGCAGCGACGCUUAGGCGUUGUUGGGUAGGGGAGCGUUCUGUAAGCCGUUGAAGGUGGCCUGUGAGGGUUGCUGGAGGUAUCAGAAGUGCGAAUGCUGACAUAAGUAACGAUAAAGCGGGUGAAAAGCCCGCUCGCCGGAAGACCAAGGGUUCCUGUCCAACGUUAAUCGGGGCAGGGUGAGUCGACCCCUAAGGCGAGGCUGAAAAGCGUAGUCGAUGGGAAACAGGUUAAUAUUCCUGUACUUGGUGUUACUGCGAAGGGGGGACGGAGAAGGCUAGGCUAGCCGGGCGACGGUUGUCCCGGUUUAAGCGUGUAGGGGGUGUGACCUGGUAAAUCCGGUUGCAUGCUAACCCUGAGGCGUGAUGACGAUGCACUACGGUGCAGAAGUAGUUGAUGCCCUGCUUCCAGGAAAAUCCUCUAAGCUCCAGGUAACAUUAAAUCGUACCCCAAACCGACACAGGUGGUCAGGUAGAGAAUACCAAGGCGCUUGAGAGAACUCGGGUGAAGGAACUAGGCAAAAUGGUGCCGUAACUUCGGGAGAAGGCACGCUGGCAUGUAGGUGAAGUCCCUCGCGGAUGGAGCUGAAGCCAGUCGAAGAUACCAGCUGGCUGCAACUGUUUAAUAAAAACACAGCACUGUGCAAACACGAAAGUGGACGUAUACGGUGUGACGCCUGCCCGGUGCUGGAAGGUUAAUUGAUGGGGUCAGCCGCAAGGCGAAGCUCUUGAUCGAAGCCCCAGUAAACGGCGGCCGUAACUAUAACGGUCCUAAGGUAGCGAAAUUCCUUGUCGGGUAAGUUCCGACCUGCACGAAUGGCGUAAUGAUGGCCAGGCUGUCUCCACCCGAGACUCAGUGAAAUUGAACUCGCUGUGAAGAUGCAGUGUACCCGCGGCAAGACGGAAAGACCCCGUGAACCUUUACUAUAGCUUGACACUGAACAUUGAGCCUUGAUGUGUAGGAUAGGUGGGAGGCUUUGAAGCGUGGACGCCAGUCUGCGUGGAGCCAUCCUUGAAAUACCACCCUUUAAUGUUUGAUGUUCUAACUCGGCCCCGUGAUCCGGGGUGAGGACAGUGUCUGGUGGGUAGUUUGACUGGGGCGGUCUCCUCCCAAAGAGUAACGGAGGAGCACGAAGGUUAGCUAAUCACGGUCGGACAUCGUGAGGUUAGUGCAAAGGCAUAAGCUAGCUUGACUGCGAGAGUGACGGCUCGAGCAGGUACGAAAGUAGGUCUUAGUGAUCCGGUGGUUCUGAAUGGAAGGGCCAUCGCUCAACGGAUAAAAGGUACUCCGGGGAUAACAGGCUGAUACCGCCCAAGAGUUCAUAUCGACGGCGGUGUUUGGCACCUCGAUGUCGGCUCAUCACAUCCUGGGGCUGAAGUAGGUCCCAAGGGUAUGGCUGUUCGCCAUUUAAAGUGGUACGCGAGCUGGGUUUAGAACGUCGUGAGACAGUUCGGUCCCUAUCUGCCGUGGGCGUUGGAAGAUUGAGAGGGGUUGCUCCUAGUACGAGAGGACCGGAGUGAACGCACCACUGGUGUUCGGGUUGUCAUGCCAAUGGCAUUGCCCGGUAGCUAAGUGCGGAAAAGAUAAGCGCUGAAAGCAUCUAAGCGCGAAACUUGCCUCAAGAUGAGUCUUCCCUGGGCCUUCAAGGCCCCUGAAGGAACGUUUAAGACUAAGACGUUGAUAGGCUGGGUGUGUAAGUGCAGCGAUGCAUUGAGCUAACCAGUACUAAUGAUCCGUGAGGCUUAACCUU
RNAcentral lists this ribosomal RNA (2908 nucleotides) under Serratia marcescens. RNAcentral describes it as "23S ribosomal RNA". It matches the Rfam family "Bacterial large subunit ribosomal RNA". The record is from RNAcentral. Lineage: Bacteria; Pseudomonadati; Pseudomonadota; Gammaproteobacteria; Enterobacterales; Yersiniaceae.